RNAcentral lists this ribosomal RNA (441 nucleotides) under uncultured bacterium. Its description in RNAcentral is "bacterial SSU rRNA". It matches the Rfam family "Bacterial small subunit ribosomal RNA", at positions 958 to 1400 of the family's 1533-position model. The record is from RNAcentral.
AACGCGAAGAACCUUACCAGGUCUUGACAUGCACUGGACCGGCGCUGAAAGGCGCUCUUCCCGCAAGGGACCGGUGCACAGGUGCUGCAUGGCUGUCGUCAGCUCGUGUCGUGAGAUGUUGCGUUAAGUCGCGCAACGAGCGCAACCCCUGUCCUUAGUUGCCAUCAUUAAGUUGGGCACUCUAGGGAGACAAACCCUCUUUGAGGGUGGGAAGGUGGGGAUGACGUCAAGUCAGGAUGGCCCUUACGACCUGGGCUGCACACGUGCUACAAUGCCCAGUACAGAGGGAAGCAAGACCGCGAGGUGGAGCAAAUCCUCAAAACUGGGCCCAGUUCAGAUUGUAGUCUGCAACUCGACUACAUGAAGUUGGAAUCGCUAGUAAUGGCGCAUCAGCUACGGCGCCGUGAAUACGUUCCCGGGCCUUGUACACACCGUAGAGAC